AUACGGAGGGUCCAAGCGUUAUCCGGAAUCAUUGGGUUUAAAGGGGCCGUAGGCGGGCAAUUAAGUCAGAGGUGAAAUCCCACAGCUCAACUGUGGAACUGCCUUUGAUACUGGUUGUCUUGAAUUAUAGUGAAGUAGAUAGAAUAUGUAGUGUAGCGGUGAAAUGCUUAGAUAUUACAUAGAAUACCGAUUGCGAAGGCAGUCUACUAACUGUAUAUUGACGCUGAUGGACGAAAGCGUGGGGAGCGAACAGGAUUAGAAACCCUAGUAGUCC
This 274-nucleotide ribosomal RNA is filed under the name uncultured bacterium. Its description in RNAcentral is "partial 16S ribosomal RNA". It matches the Rfam family "Bacterial small subunit ribosomal RNA", at positions 523 to 796 of the family's 1533-position model. The record is from RNAcentral.